UUUUGGGCGUUAAAUGUCGUUAGCAAGUGUGAUUAUUUCAUUAUAUUCACCUCUAAUUUCUUUAACCCAUUUGAAAUCUUCAGGAGUAGAAAGUAAUUUUUCCAACAAUAUCAUCGUGUAAAGUCCUCGGUGUUGACGGUCUCUUCCCUGGGAAUCAGAAGUAAUUUUUCUUGAAUAGCUAUCUCCUAAAGCCCGUUCUCAGUGUCGACUGCUCUUUCACUGGGAAAAAGUUGUUGAUACAAGUAUAAAUACUCAUUGUGCCUUGAACACUAAUGAGCCAUUUGUGUUGGCAUCUCAGUCUGAACAAGUCUUCUACUUAGAAGACAUGGUUGAUAAAGAUUGGCUUGUUGUUGUAAAGAAAAAUCCUCGCGACCUUUUCAAUAUGCCUUAAGUUGAUGAUAAUUCUGUAGCAGUUGAAGAUGAAGCAUUACUGAAUGAAGAAGCUUAUCAACAAGAGGAAGUUGAAUUGAAUAUUUUGCAAAACAAUGACCAGGAAAAUGAUAUUGAUGUGGCUUUACAUAUGGACGAUGUUGAACCACAAAGUAUUGAUGCAAGUAUACAAGCUUAGACAAGUAUGCAUGAAAAAGAAUGUGGAAGUAGACAAACGGAUCAGCAUAGAAAUAGCCAAGAGGAUUCAAGAACAACUGGCUGCUAUCAUGUCUGGAAUGCAACAGGGACAAUGUUAUAACACAAUGGUGACAAUGAAGGAGAAGAUUGAAGCUAAGGCACUCAAUGUUUUACUUUUUGGUUAUAUGUAAAUACGUACAAUGACAAUGAAGUAUUACGUAGUAUAUAUGCGGAGGAACUUGAAGCUAAGGCACUCAAUAUUUUACUUUUUGGUUAUAUGUAUAUGCGUACAAUGAUAAUGAAGUAUUACGUAGUGUAUAUGCGGAGAAGCUUGAAGCUAAGGCACUCAAUAUUUUACUUUUUGGUUAUAUGUAUAUGCGUACAAUGAUAAUGAAGUAUUACGUAGUGUAUAUGCGGAGAAGCUUGAAGCUAAGGCACUCAAUAUUUUACUUUUUGGUUAUAUGUAUAUGCGUACAAUGAUAAUGAAGUAUUACGUAGUGUAUAUGCGGAGAAGCUUGAAGCUAAGGCACUCAAUAUUUUACUUUUUGGUUAUAUGUAUAUGCGUACAAUGAUAAUGAAGUAUUACGUAGUGUAUAUGCGGAGAAGCUUGAAGCUAAGGCACUCAAUAUUUUACUUUUUGGUUAUAUGUAUAUGCGUACAAUGACAAUGAAGUAUUGCAUAGUAUAUAUGUAACUCAACUUUUAGUAAUGGAAGUAUUUAGUAUUUGGUUUAGGAAA
Long non-coding RNA from Nicotiana tabacum (common tobacco), 1304 nucleotides. RefSeq lists it as uncharacterized. Lineage: Eukaryota; Viridiplantae; Streptophyta; Magnoliopsida; Solanales; Solanaceae. The record is from RefSeq and is a predicted model, not a curated record.